RNAcentral lists this microRNA precursor (74 nucleotides) under Myotis davidii. RNAcentral describes it as "mir-9193 microRNA precursor family". It matches the Rfam family "mir-9193 microRNA precursor family". Lineage: Eukaryota; Metazoa; Chordata; Mammalia; Chiroptera; Vespertilionidae. The record is from Rfam by way of RNAcentral.
UCUGGGAGAGGAGGGUACCUCAGCCCGGAUUGCGAGAGGGUGCUGGCCAGGCCAAGGGACCCCACUGGUGCACG